RNAcentral lists this ribosomal RNA (282 nucleotides) under Triticum aestivum (bread wheat). RNAcentral's name for it is "partial small subunit ribosomal RNA". Lineage: Eukaryota; Viridiplantae; Streptophyta; Magnoliopsida; Poales; Poaceae. The record is from RNAcentral.
AUGUUCCAGAGGAAAAAAGCGCCGGUGCUGCUGCUCAAGAUUGACAUCGCAAAAGCCUUCGAUUCGGUCUCCUGGGAGUAUCUGUUAGAGCUGUUGCAGCACUUAAAUUUCCCGGCACGCUGGAGAGACUGGAUUGCUCUGCUCCUCUCCACCGCCUCCUCAGCAUGCACACUCAACGGUGACCUAGGACAAGCCAUCAUGCACCAGCGCGGGCUGCGGCAGGGGGACCCGCUAUCGCCACUCCUCUUCAUCCUGGCGAUCGACCCCCUUCACCGGUUGCUG